GCAUAAUCACUCGCCUUUUAAUUGGAGGCUAAGAUGAAUGGAUAAACGAGGGCAAAGCUGUCUCUUUUACCCCCUUAAAAAUUAGCCCUCAGGUGAAGAUACCUGGAUAAAAAUGAAAGACAAGAAGACCCUGUUGAGCUUUACUCUACCUGCUUUAAAUUAAUAAUAGUUUUAAAAUUAAUUCUUAGUACCCGAGUUCUGUUGGGGCGACAAAGGAAUAUACCAAUCUUCCUUCAAUUAAUAGAUAACCAAUCCCUCUUUUGACCCUCCCCAGAUCAAAGAAAUCAGCUACCACAGGGAUAACAGGCUAAUUCUUCUUGAGAGCCCACAUUAACAGAAGAGU
This 343-nucleotide ribosomal RNA is filed under the name Polygordius lacteus. RNAcentral's name for it is "partial 16S ribosomal RNA". It matches the Rfam family "Bacterial large subunit ribosomal RNA", at positions 1959 to 2517 of the family's 2925-position model. The record is from RNAcentral. Lineage: Eukaryota; Metazoa; Annelida; Polychaeta; Polygordiidae.